CCUACGGGAGGCAGCAGUGAGGAAUAUUGGUCAAUGGACGGAAGUCUGAACCAGCCAUGCCGCGUGCAGGAAGACGGCUCUAUGAGUUGUAAACUGCUUUUGUACAAGGGUAAACCUGAAUACGUGUAUUCAGCUGAAAGUACUGUACGAAUAAGGAUCGGCUAACUCCGUGCCAGCAGCCGCGGUAAUACGGAGGAUCGAAGCGUUAUACGGAUUUAUUGGGUUUAAAGGGUGCGUAGGCGGAUUGAUAAGUUGGAGGUGAAAGGGCCGAGCCUAACUCGGGAACUGCCUCUAAUACUGGUGAUCUAGAGAGUAGGUGCGGUAGGCGGAAUGUAUGGUGUAGCGGUGAAAUGCUUAGAGAUCAUACAGAACACCGAUUGCGAAGGCAGCUUACCAAUCUAUAUCUGACGUUGAGGCACGAAAGCGUGGGGAGCAAACAGGAUUAGAUACCCCAGUAGUC
RNAcentral lists this ribosomal RNA (460 nucleotides) under uncultured bacterium. RNAcentral's name for it is "partial 16S ribosomal RNA". It matches the Rfam family "Bacterial small subunit ribosomal RNA", at positions 338 to 795 of the family's 1533-position model. The record is from RNAcentral.